This 4711-nucleotide long non-coding RNA is filed under the name Triticum aestivum (bread wheat). RNAcentral describes it as "long non-coding RNA (TAES_LNC000866)". The record is from RNAcentral. Lineage: Eukaryota; Viridiplantae; Streptophyta; Magnoliopsida; Poales; Poaceae.
UUUUGCCGUGGGGAGUGAGUGCUUGGCAAGCCGCCACAAAAAUACCAUGAUCUUUGACGGCAACUUGGACUCUCCAAAUUGAUGUCCAGUUCUUCUCCAACUAUCUUGUUGGAGUUCGACGCUCUACCUUCCAGCCAUGCCUCCCAUUUUCCCUUCGUGUCGGGGGUUGGGUACGAUAUAUGUCAACGGAUGGCUUAUCAUGGUGGGAGCGAGUAAAACGUCGCCGGUGCCUGGAAGCGGGAUAAGGCGUAGACACGUACGUCGACGGACUUUACCCAGGUUGGGGGCUCUCCGUGGAGAUAAUACCCCUACUCCUGCUCUGCGGGGUCUCCGCAUGAUAACUAAGGCACUAGUGCUACAAGUUGCUCCUUGAGCUGUGUCUAGAGGUAGGAGAAGGCAAGGCUAGCUCUUCCCUGCCCUAGGUAACUGGCUGCUUCUAUCAGGGUUGGAACCCUUUGCAUGGGUGGCUUGGCGGGUUUAUAUAGGCCUACCCCCCAGGGGUACAAUGGUAAUCCGUCCGGGUGCUGGGCCCGGCUUGUCAGUGUCUCCAGCCUUCGGCUUCUCCGCCGACCGUUGGGGCCCGCCGCCUAGUGGGCCUCGCCGGCUGGUUGGUGGCUGCUUAUUGUAGCCGUGUUGUUGAUGACGGGGGCUUGGUCAUCUUAGUGUGGCUACAGUCCCGUUGCCUGGUGGGGGGGCCACUGUAGCCACUCCUGGUCUUGUCAGCUUAAUGGCAUGCUUGCCUCGGGGCAAGAGACGGCCGCCUGCUGGAGGCCGGCCCUUCCCGAAUCCGCCUGGUUGGGCUUCCGCCAUCCUCCGCGGGGCUCACUGCCCGAUGGGCCCCGCCACCGGCAGGCCGUACUGACAGGCCGUCGUGGGGAACAGGACUCCGCCUACUCGGAGUGACGUCAGAGGAGACAUUGCACAGUGCCCCGUCGUGAGGAGAUCUCCGCCUGUAUGGAGCACUGUAGCCACGCCUGUCCCGAGCGGCGGAGGCGACGUGCUUCACUGUAGCCAUGCUCUGACUUGUACUCUUGAUGGGGGCUCAGCCGUGCCAUGGUCGCGAGGUGGCCGUCUGCCCGUUGCCGCCCUCUCUGGAGGCCGGCCGGCAGGAGCCGGGCACCCGGAGCGCCGUAGUCUUGGGUCUGCUGCCCUCUGGCAGCCGGCCGUUGAGCCAGCCGGCUCCCUGAGCGCGGAGCUUCAGCUCGGGGCCCAGCUAGGCGGAGCUGGACCAAAGUCUUGAUAAAUCCAGGGACUCGGGUGAGCCUACCCGUGGGCCAUUACUCCGACACUUCAUGCAAGCGAGCAUGGUGAGAACACUCUUUUGUAAAUAAUUUUACUUGUUUCAAGUACCACUUUCUGUAUUACCUUUAACAAAUUUUCCGUGGCAAUGCAUGGGGAUCAUCUAAUUAAGAACAGUAAAACUGCACCUAAUCCCUGCCCUCUCAGUAAUUAGGUGUUUGUGGCUGUUGGAUUUCGCUAACUGGGCAUUCUUCGUCGUAGGAUCUUCAUUAAGCUGUACCUUAAUUGCGAAGUGGGCUAAAUGUUGCAGGGGCAGCUGCUCCCGUAGCUUUUUCUGAGCCCUCUGGUUAAUUGGGCUGCCUCGGGCCCGUUUUCCCUGCUCAGGCCCAACACAACGAACAAACCUCAGCGAGUACCGCUCCAUCUCCUAAAACAAUCGCUCUAUAGAGAGGGGAUGGCGGCGCUCGAUGCGGCCAGCGCGGCUUCGAUGCAGGCGGCUCGGGCGGCCAGCGGCCGGGUCCAGGCGAGGCACCAGUGGAUCCAGGCUAUCCGCGCCGCACGUGAGGGUAUCCAUUACCACUCGACCGAGAGGAUCCAUGAGCUAUCGAUCGAUCGAGGGUAUCCAAUGCGGGAUGCAGGUCAUGGGUCGAUCUACAGAAUCCACUUUGGUGGCCGGUCCAUUCGACUGGUUGGCGUGGGACGCGGACGAUAAUGGAGGUCUUUGCUCGUGGCUAGCCGGAGUCGGCCGCGCCUGGCCGCUAAGAUCGCGGACGGGGGACGAUGGAGGUUGUGGCAGCUAUAUGUGGACCGCAGUGCGACGAUGACAGAUCAACCGUGGUCCUCGUGAUGGGUUCCCGCGCCAGGGUCUUAGUCAUUGCGUUGUUGGUCGCAGGGCAGUUAUCAGUCGCCAGGGCAGGGAAGUACCUCUCCGUGAUGCAGGUCAGCCUCAACCUGGUUGCCUAAUAUCUAAUUCCUAGCACGCACUCUAGCAGCACGACUGCGGCCUCCUGGACCACCUGGCCGUUCGUUAUGAUGGAAGCGCGCGACGAGCUUGGAGGUGAAGCCAGGGAGGAAGGGAAGAUUGUAAUGUCAUGCUCGAUCUUGACAGUAGUGGCAGUGGGAAGCCUACUGAAAUCAACUUGUAAAGUCCGAUCCCCUCUCUACGUCUUUAAACAAUGUUCAAAUGAUACACAAUAUGCUUAGUUAUUUGUAAGGUCUGGAAUAUUUUCCUGCAACAGAAGUGUCUGCAACAUAAAUUUUUGGAUGGUGAAGCUUUCAUUGGUGCUCCGUGUGCUGAAGGCCUGAAGCUGAUCACCAGCAUGCGAGGGCAAUGGCAGCCACGGCUGGCUUUGCUCAAGCAAACUCACAUCAUGCACUCACUAUAGUAUAUGCCAUUAACCUCUACAGUCCGUCAGUUGGCUCAAGAUGUUCAUAUCAACUUACCAUACAGUUUAUAUUUCAGGUACAAAAUGUGUUGGCUCAAGAGCCACCAGAGUCGUUUGCUUCUUAAUAUUUGGACAGUUGAAUUCGGGAAUACAUGAGACAUGCAUUUGAUUUUGAAUUAAGAGAUGGAGAAUCUGAUUGUUGCUUGCAAAAGGUGCUCAGGCAUGGGAAACAGUUACUUUUGACAGUAAAAUAGAGGCCAUCAGAUCAAUGUAUUGUUAGCCACAAAAUUCUUGAGCUUAUAACUUCUAGACAUUUAUGGAUUCAGAACUUAGAGUGGGAGGCACCAAUGAUACGCCUGGUCAUUGUGGUUCAACUUCACUACUAAUUAGGACAAAGAACUAGGUGAUGAUACCUAUUAAUGUUGAAUGCUCGAGGUAAGUGUAUAAUUACCCUGCAUUUUCGCUUGGUCAUGCGGGUUAUUGUCAACUAUGAAGUUUUGCACAGUUCACUUAUAACAUAUAUGACCAAGCAAAUAACAUAAAUGUUAUUGGGCUGCAGGCAUCCUCCUUCUGCUGUGAUGAUGCAUCAUGCAUUAUGAUUUUAUAAUAUUCCUUUUACACCAAGCUUCUGAAGUUAAACAUGAAUGUAGACAUGAAGCAUUUUAGUGAGAGUUGUACAACGGCAAGCAUUUUUAGGUGGUUUAGAAACUUCUGUCAGAAAUUUCCUUUGUGGUGUUCAAGUUAUAAAGUAAAAUCAAUGCCAUUUGGCGGCUCACCUUUCUUUCACUCUUCAAAUUAUUAAACUAAUUAUAUCUCUUAUUUUCUGUGAAAUAACAUUAUCAAUAAUAUCCCUGCUAAUUUUACAAGGUCACAUAAAUGCAGUAUUUAGUUGGACAAAUUAUGCAAAGUACAUGAUAAUUAAAAACACCCAUACUGAUAUAAUUGAGAUUAUGCACUAAAGGUUUAUUCCUAAAAUAGUGAAGGUUAAUCUAACAUUUCUGAAGAUGGUUAAGAAUGACCUUCCUAGAUACUGUGAAGUCAUGUGAUGAUCCCUUUGGUUACAUUGUUUUCUCUCUUUUGUGAAGUUACAAGAACUGGAAAAACUAAACUUGUCAAAUUUCAAAAGCAUGGACCUUUUUUCUUUCUUUCUUUGUGUAUACUUCUCUUAUAGUUCUUAUAAUAACACUUAUUGCUAAUAUGCAUUUCGUAAUUAGAUUCUUUUUGGCUGAUAGUACUUUUAAUAAACUUUUAAAAGAAGGGGGUUUCAGAUCCUCAAUAUAAUGGUUUGCAAUGGUUUGGGGAUCAGUAUAAUUGUCUGGUAUUAAAUAAAUAAAAUUACUUUACUUUCACCAAUUUAUCAUCCUUUUAAAAUAUGUAUUUAUCAUCAGUUCUGAAAUAGGUCAAAUCAGUUCAUGAGCGAGGACCAAAGUUUACAAAAUGAUCAAUUGAUGAACUGCAAUGAGAUGUCAAUGUAGUAAAAUCAAGAACAAUUGUAGCUUAUGAUGGGCAAGAACAAUGAGCAGCCAUAAAUUUCAAAGAAGGAAAACCAAUAUCAAACAAGUUGAUGUGCGUGUUUCCGAUUUCAGUGCCAAGGGAGAUAUUUUAACGCUAAUUGUACAAUGUUUUUAGAGCUGUCUUUUUACCAUAUAAUAUGAUGUUGUAGCUAAAACUCCUAGCUGCUUAGAAUCAAUUUUAGAUAGCGGUCUUACAACUACAGUACACAGAUUACACUACAAUGCUCUGUUUUGCUAAUCCAAAAUAUUAAGUUCAUUGUCCUUAAAUUCUAAGCAACUUAUAUCGUAUUUAACACCAAUAUUUACGCCAUCGUGUAUUUAUCAAAUAUCCUAACAUUAUACUGAAAAAGAGACGGGCGCGACAACGCGCGCCAUCAAUGAUAUAGUAGUAUACAAAUAGGAACCCCAGCAAAAAAAGAAAGAAAGAUAUGUGGGCUCAAUCAGUAGCGGAGAGUGACAUGGAAGUAAGACGGGACCAAUUGAUAAGCCCAAAGUAAUAGCUUACCUGAGCCAACAAAUACAAAUUUAUUAGGCCCCGUAACCGGUUGCGUCCUCCCCCAAAAAGCUCUGCUC